This 800-nucleotide ribosomal RNA is filed under the name Halomonas sp. RNAcentral's name for it is "bacterial SSU rRNA". It matches the Rfam family "Bacterial small subunit ribosomal RNA", at positions 51 to 847 of the family's 1533-position model. Lineage: Bacteria; Pseudomonadati; Pseudomonadota; Gammaproteobacteria; Oceanospirillales; Halomonadaceae. The record is from RNAcentral.
ACACAUGCAAGUCGAGCGGUAACAGAUCCAGCUUGCUAGGAUGCUGACGAGCGGCGGACGGGUGAGUAAUGCAUAGGAAUCUGCCCGAUAGUGGGGGAUAACCUGGGGAAACCCAGGCUAAUACCGCAUACGUCCUACGGGAGAAAGGGGGCUCCGGCUCCCGCUAUGGGAUGAGCCUAUGUCGGAUUAGCUAGUUGGUGAGGUAACGGCUCACCAAGGCCACGAUCCGUAGCUGGUCUGAGAGGAUGAUCAGCCACAUCGGGACUGAGACACGGCCCGAACUCCUACGGGAGGCAGCAGUGGGGAAUAUUGGACAAUGGGGGAAACCCUGAUCCAGCCAUGCCGCGUGUGUGAAGAAGGCCCUCGGGUUGUAAAGCACUUUCAGCGAGGAAGAACGCCUAGCGGUUAAUACCCGCUAGGAAAGACAUCACUCGCAGAAGAAGCACCGGCUAACUCCGUGCCAGCAGCCGCGGUAAUACGGAGGGUGCAAGCGUUAAUCGGAAUUACUGGGCGUAAAGCGCGCGUAGGUGGCUUGAUAAGCCGGUUGUGAAAGCCCCGGGCUCAACCUGGGAACGGCAUCCGGAACUGUCAAGCUAGAGUGCAGGAGAGGAAGGUAGAAUUCCCGGUGUAGCGGUGAAAUGCGUAGAGAUCGGGAGGAAUACCAGUGGCGAAGGCGGCCUUCUGGACUGACACUGACACUGAGGUGCGAAAGCGUGGGUAGCAAACAGGAUUAGAUACCCUGGUAGUCCACGCCGUAAACGAUGUCGACCAGCCGUUGGGUGCCUAGCGCACUUUGUGGC